This 253-nucleotide ribosomal RNA is filed under the name uncultured bacterium. RNAcentral's name for it is "partial 16S ribosomal RNA". It matches the Rfam family "Bacterial small subunit ribosomal RNA", at positions 524 to 776 of the family's 1533-position model. The record is from RNAcentral.
GACGAACCGUGCGAACGUUGUUCGGAAUCACUGGGCUUAAAGGGCGCGUAGGCGGAUCAGCAAGUCCGGGGUGAAAUCUUUCGGCUCAACCGGAAAAGUGCCUUGGAUACUGCUGGUCUCGAGGGAGGUAGGGGUAUGUGGAACUUCUGGUGGAGCGGUGAAAUGCGUUGAUAUCAGAAGGAACGCCGGUGGCGAAAGCGACGUACUGGACCUCUUCUGACGCUGAGGCGCGAAAGCUAGGGGAGCAAACGGG